AUACAUGCAAGUCGAGCGAACGGACGAGAAGCUUGCUUCUCUGAUGUUCAGCGGCGGACGGGUGAGUAACACGUGGAUAACCUACCUAUAAGACUGGGAUAACUUCGGGAAACCGGAGCUAAUACCGGAUAAUAUUUUGAACCGCAUGGUUCAAAAGUGAAAGACGGUCUUGCUGUCACUUAUAGAUGGAUCCGCGCUGCAUUAGCUAGUUGGUAAGGUAACGGCUUACCAAGGCAACGAUGCAUAGCCGACCUGAGAGGGUGAUCGGCCACACUGGAACUGAGACACGGUCCAGACUCCUACGGGAGGCAGCAGUAGGGAAUCUUCCGCAAUGGGCGAAAGCCUGACGGAGCAACGCCGCGUGAGUGAUGAAGGUCUUCGGAUCGUAAAACUCUGUUAUUAGGGAAGAACAUAUGUGUAAGUAACUGUGCACAUCUUGACGGUACCUAAUCAGAAAGCCACGGCUAACUACGUGCCAGCAGCCGCGGUAAUACGUAGGUGGCAAGCGUUAUCCGGAAUUAUUGGGCGUAAAGCGCGCGUAGGCGGUUUAAAAGUCUGAUGUGAAAGCCCAGGUCAAACGUGGAGGGUCAUUGGAAAACUGGAAAACUUGAGUGCAGAAGAGGAAAGUGGAAUUCCAUGUGUAACGGUGAAAUGCGCAGAGAUAUGGAGGAACACCAGUGGCGAAGGCGACUUUCUGGUCUGUAACUGACGCUGAUGUGCGAAAGCGUGGG
This 731-nucleotide ribosomal RNA is filed under the name uncultured Staphylococcus sp. RNAcentral's name for it is "bacterial SSU rRNA". It matches the Rfam family "Bacterial small subunit ribosomal RNA", at positions 51 to 765 of the family's 1533-position model. Lineage: Bacteria; Bacillati; Bacillota; Bacilli; Caryophanales; Staphylococcaceae. The record is from RNAcentral.